UGGUUACAUAGACGUUUGGCACCCGCCUUGGCCAAAAGUCAUGCGUUUCGCCAGAUUUAGGUCCGAUAGAGCAAAUUUUGCAUCAGAUUUGACAUGGUUUAGACGAUGAAAACCACCACCAAUAUCAAAAAGUCAGCUUGAGUUUGCUUUGCGGGACAAGUGGAAUAACAUUCCUCGAGAUCACAUUAAACGUCCGGGAUGAUCAAUUCCACGGCGCUGUCGAGAUUGCGCUGCACAACAGGGUUGUAACAUUUUUUGUUAGGACUGUGAUUUGAUGAUUCGACAUUGGAUGUUUCGUUUAUCUAUUGCGCCCGAAAGAUGACAAUGAAACAUUUUUGUUUGAUAUCGAUCUAUUGUUAGAAUUGUUAAUUUUCAAGAACAAUUCAUUUUGAAAGAUCAUGAUUUCUAAUAUAAAUUUUAUUUUUGAAAAACCAAGUGUUGCGUUUUCAUUGGCACUCAGUAUAUAUAAAUAGAACCAUACAAAUAGUUAGCAAAUACAUAUAAAAAAAAGAUGUGAUAUGAUUGCCAAUGAGACAAUUCUCCACAACAGACCAAAAUGACAUAGAAAUUAACAAUUACAGGUCGCCACACAACCUUCAACAAUGAGCAAAGCUAAUGCAGCAUAGUCGGCUAUAAAAGGUCUCAAAAUGACAAUGUGAAACAAUUCAAAGGAGAAAAAUAACAGGCUUAUUUAUGUACAAAAAAUAAAGAAAAAACGAAUAUGUAACGCAUAAACAAACGACAACCACUGAAUUACAGGCUCCUUAUAUCAUGUUCUCAGAUAUCAUCUCCCAAUUUAAAAAAAUCACGAAAAAUUGAACCUAUUAUGUGUUGCUCUCCUAGCUAUAAAAUGUAUCCAAAAUCAAAGAUGUGGAACAUAUUCUAUCAUAAUCAUUUGGUAACUAAUGCAAUUAGUGUCUCUUCCAUGCCUGUCUUGAACAUAAAAACUAAACUAAAUAUAAAAUAAACAAUACUCCUAAUGCUCCGGUUGGUUGUCAUCGUGCAACACAGUUAAUAACACAUAUAGGAAAAUCAUAGAACUACAUUUAUCAUAAAACACUGUCAAACAUUCAAACAUACUAUCCACACUCAUCUGUGUCCACACUUGUUUUUAAAAAAA
Molecule: long non-coding RNA, 1120 nt
Filed under: Mytilus galloprovincialis (Mediterranean mussel)
Lineage: Eukaryota; Metazoa; Mollusca; Bivalvia; Mytilida; Mytilidae
Source: RNAcentral